Molecule: long non-coding RNA, 1106 nt
Filed under: Marmota monax (woodchuck)
Lineage: Eukaryota; Metazoa; Chordata; Mammalia; Rodentia; Sciuridae
Source: RNAcentral
GUUGCUCAAAAAGUUAAACCGAGUUAUCAUAUUACUCUUAAAUAUACAUAUAAGAUAAAAUAUGUCCAUACAUAAAUCUGUAUACAAAUGUUUAUAAUAGCAGCAUUAUACAUACUAGUCAAAAGGUCACAAUAACUGAAAUGUUCAAUGGCUAAACAAAAAAGUGAUGUUUCCAUACAAGGGAGUAUUUUGGGGAAUAAGUUACUGAUAUAUACUUUAUAUAUAUGUUUCCAGGGUUGCUGUAAUAAAUUACACAAACUGAGUGGCUUAAACAACAGAAUGUAUUGUCUCAUAACUCUGGAGGCCACAAGUCUGAAAUCAGGGUAUUGUCAGGGUUGGUUCUUUCUGAGGGAUGUGAAAGAGAAUCUUUUCCAUUGCCUUUCCCCUAGCUCCUUAACAGCCUUUGUUAAAUAAAUAGUGUUCCCUUGUAUCUUCAUAGUAUCUUCCUGCUAUGUGUGUUCCAGUCCCUUUUGUAAGUAUACAGUCAGAGCUGAGAGUAUAGUUCAUUGGUAGAAUAUUUCCCUAAUAUGCACAGUGAUCUAGGUUUGAUCCCCAGCACUGCAAACAAACAGAAAAGAUACAAUUACAUUGGAUUAGAGGCCCAAUGACCUCUUAAUAACUUGAUCAUCUCCAAAGAUGGUUCCAAGUAAGGUUUCCAAGUAAGGUCACAUUCAUAGCUGUUGGAGUUAGUAGUUUAACAACUUUUGGGGGGACACAGUUCAACACAAUAAUAGAUGAGGAGCAGAAGGUGUAACUCAGUUGUCUAGGAUGAACAAGUCACUGGGUUUGAUUCCCCAGUACCAAUAAAUAAACCCUGAAAAUACUAUAUUAGGGUGCAGUGAGUGGCCCAUGCCUGUAAUCCCUAGGGACUCAGAAGGUUGAGGCUGAAGAACUGCAAGUUUGAGGACAGCCUCAGCAACUCAGCAAGAUGCUGUCUCUCUCUCUCUCUCUCUCUCUCUCUCACACACACACACACACACACACAUACACAAAGCAGGGGCUGAUGUAGCUCAGCAAUAGAGCACCUCUGAGUUCAAAAAGAAAAUAUUAAGGGCUAGGGAUGUGGCUCAAGUGGUAGCAUGCUCGCCUGGCAUGCGUGUGGCCCG